UUAUGGCCUCUUUUUCUUCUUUCCAUAUGAUGUCUUAAAGCUAAUGAGUACUGAUGGAUUUUAAUUACUAUAUUCUUAUGGUUGUCUUCUUAUUUUUCAUGAUGAUGAUCUACAUUUUGGCUUCCGAUCUAUGUUAUUUAUCUUUAGCAUUUGCAGGCUGUGUGAUUGUUGCUCUUUUAUUUUACAUUCAUCAUGGUGGGAUUUGAGUAUGUUUUGGUCUUUUUCAUAUUAGAUUCUAUUAUUUAGAACAUGUUGCUUAGUUUUGUAUGAUGGAUGCUUGAUGGCGUUGCUUGGUUCUAUUAUCUUUC
Molecule: long non-coding RNA, 308 nt
Filed under: Elaeis guineensis (African oil palm)
Lineage: Eukaryota; Viridiplantae; Streptophyta; Magnoliopsida; Arecales; Arecaceae
Description: long non-coding RNA (EGUI_LNC015984)
Source: RNAcentral